Molecule: ribosomal RNA, 439 nt
Filed under: uncultured bacterium
Lineage: Bacteria
Description: partial 16S ribosomal RNA
Rfam family: Bacterial small subunit ribosomal RNA
Source: RNAcentral
CUACGGGACGCUCCAGUGGGGAAUCUUAGACAAUGGGGGAAACCCUGAUCUAGCCAUGCCGCGUGAGCGACGACGGCCCUAGGGUUGUAAAGCUCUUUCAGCAGGGAAGAUAAUGACGGUACCUGCAGAAGAAGUCCCGGCUAACUCCGUGCCAGCAGCCGCGGUAAUACGGAGGGGACUAGCGUUGUUCGGAAUUACUGGGCGUAAAGCGCGCGUAGGCGGAUUGUUAAGUCGGGGGUGAAAUCCCGGGGCUCAACCCCGGAACUGCCCUCGAUACUGGCAGUCUUGAGUUCGAGAGAGGUGAGUGGAAUUCCGAGUGUAGAGGUGAAAUUCGUAGAUAUUCGGAGGAACACCAGUGGCGGAGGCGGCUCACUGGCUCGAUACUGACGCUGAGGUGCGAAAGCGUGGGGAGCAAACAGGAUUAGAUACCCCUGUAGUC